AUAUCAUUAAGCGGAGGAGAAGAAAUUAACUAAGAUUGCCCUAGUAACGGCGAGUGAAGCGGCAAAAGCCCAAACUGGAAAUCUUGUACACCCCGUGUGCACGAAUUGUAAUCUAUAGAGUGCUUGCUCACCGGGUGGUGGCGCAGAAGUGCCUUCGAACGGGCCGCCAAAGAGGGUGCCAGCCCCGUAUGUGGUGCCACCGCCUAACGAGUGGGUAUUCGAAGAGUCGGGUUGUUUUGUAUUGCAGCCCUAAGUGGGAGAUAAACUUCUUCUAAGGCUAAAUAUAUAUGGGAGACCGAUAGCGCACAAGUA
This 312-nucleotide ribosomal RNA is filed under the name uncultured eukaryote. Its description in RNAcentral is "partial large subunit ribosomal RNA". It matches the Rfam family "Eukaryotic large subunit ribosomal RNA", at positions 40 to 350 of the family's 3401-position model. The record is from RNAcentral.